Molecule: ribosomal RNA, 254 nt
Filed under: uncultured bacterium
Lineage: Bacteria
Description: partial 16S ribosomal RNA
Rfam family: Bacterial small subunit ribosomal RNA
Source: RNAcentral
CACGUAGGGGGCAAGCGUUGUCCGGAUUUAUUGGGCGUAAAGAGCUCGUAGGUGGUUCGGUAAGUCGGGUGUUAAACCCCCAGGCUCAACCUGGGGACGCCACUCGAUACUGCUGUGACUUGAGUCCGGUAGGGGAGCGUGGAAUUCCUGGUGUAGCGGUGAAAUGCGCAGAUAUCAGGAGGAACACCAGCGGCGAAGGCGGCGCUCUGGGCCGGUACUGACACUGAGGAGCGAAAGCGUGGGUAGCAAAUAGG